GCUAGUUGUACGCCUUUAAACUAUGGUAAAGGAGUAGCAUACUGCUCAGUAACACGUAGCUAACCUACCCUUGGGAUGGUGAUAACCCCGGGAAACUGGGGUCAAUAACCAAUAGGUAUGGAUUCCUGGAAUGGUUCCAUAUUGAAAUGUGUGUACACCCAUGUUGUGUACAUAUACCCGAGGAUGGGGCUGCGGUCGAUCAGGCUGUUGGUGAGGUAACGGCUCACCAAACCUUUGACCGAUACGGGCCAUGAGAGUGGUAGCCCGGAGAUGGGCACUGAGACAAGGGCCCAGGCCCUACGGGGCGCAGCAGGUACGAAACCUCCACAAUUCACGCAAGUGAGAUGGGGUUACCUCGAGUGCCGCCUGAAUAAGGUGGCUUUUCCGCUGUGUAACAAGCUGUGGGAAUAAGGGGGGGGCAAGACUGGUGUCAGCCGCCGCGGUAACACCAGCCCCCCGAGUGGUGGGGAUGCUUAUUUGGCCUAAAGCGUCCGUAGCUUGCUUUGUAAAUCUCUCGUUAAAUCCAGCGUCCUAAGCGUUGGGCUGCGAGAGAGACUGCAGAGCUAGAGGGUGGGAGAGGUCAGCGGUAUUUCUGGGGUAGGGGCGAAAUCCAUUGAUCCCAGGAGGACCACCAGUGGCGAAGGCUGCUGACUUGAACACGCCUGACAGUGAGGGACGAAAGCUGGGGUAGCGAAUCGGAUUAGAUACCCGAGUAGUCCCAGCCGUAAACGAUGCAGGCUAGGUGUU
RNAcentral lists this ribosomal RNA (747 nucleotides) under uncultured archaeon. RNAcentral's name for it is "bacterial SSU rRNA". It matches the Rfam family "Archaeal small subunit ribosomal RNA", at positions 53 to 775 of the family's 1478-position model. The record is from RNAcentral.